Molecule: long non-coding RNA, 485 nt
Organism: Pseudophryne corroboree (corroboree frog)
Lineage: Eukaryota; Metazoa; Chordata; Amphibia; Anura; Myobatrachidae
Exons: 3
Source: RefSeq, a predicted model, not a curated record
AGGAUAGUUCUUUUUCCUAGUUCACUGCAUGCUUUAUACAUAAUGUCAUGAUCUGUUGAAAAGUCCCUGAUAAGUGUGUUGCUUAACUUCUGCCGACUCUCUAAUAAAAACUCAUUCCUUUUGAGACGAGACCUGACUCAGCGUGUCUUCAAGUGUUCCCACAAUUCUCACCUCUCUGCACUGGAGUGAAGUAACCGAAGCGGAUCUCAAGUGUAUCUAAUAAUCAUCAACCAUCCAUAAUUCUUUUCUUCAUAAUAAAGAAACUUCCUGACAGCGAUUGCUGUUACUGAACUGACUGACUGCAUAUCAAUCUGUCCUACCGCUCUGAACCACUUACAGCGAAUAAGGGCUACAUCUAAAGACAAGAUUCCCAUUGGGCCACAUUGAGUGUGAAGAGCUUCCUAUUCAAUAAAGUGGUGAAAGAGGGAUUUUUUGGUGACUUUAUUCUGUGCUAAAUUUCUAGGAAAAAAAGUUAAAUUUUUCAC